RNAcentral lists this unclassified non-coding RNA (518 nucleotides) under Hevea brasiliensis (rubber tree). Lineage: Eukaryota; Viridiplantae; Streptophyta; Magnoliopsida; Malpighiales; Euphorbiaceae. The record is from RNAcentral.
UGAAAAUCAAUUAUUAUUUUAAUUAAAAUUAUAUUAAUCCCAUGUACAGAUAUAUAUAGUAAAAUUAUAAUUUAUUAAAUUUCUACUAAUUGGCACAAGAAUUUUCCGGAUGGCAAAACCAAAUUACGCUUCUAACUUCUUGGGCAGUGAAAGAAUCCCUAGUUCCCUAUACACAUGCAACGUCGUUUCCUCAUACCCCAGGUAAAAAUCACAGGACGCCGAGAACCUAAGGUGACGUUGAACGGUUGAAGAAAUCCAACCCUAAAGCAAACCACGAGAAAAGUUUUGCGCCGUAGGGACGGACCUUGCCAUUUUCGCAGAAUUUUCCAAGAAAGAUUUGCCAUUGCCCACGCAUGUGCUUAAGCAAAGCCUACUCUGACUUAUGCAAAGUUUAGCCCACUCAUACAAGCUUAGCCCAAUACAAGGAUCCAUACAUAGACAAGCUCAUAACCUAAAAGAAUAGAGGGGAAGAAACAAAGCCCAUAGAAGGCGGUAAACCGAAAAGGAGGACGAACGCA